Physeter macrocephalus (sperm whale) is the source of this 902-nucleotide long non-coding RNA. RefSeq lists it as uncharacterized. Lineage: Eukaryota; Metazoa; Chordata; Mammalia; Artiodactyla; Physeteridae. The transcript has 4 exons. The record is from RefSeq and is a predicted model, not a curated record.
GCCCCCGGGUCGGGGUAGCCGGGGUGGCUGCGGGGUCGGUGUAGUCGGCGGGGUGGGUUGUCGCGGUAUUGCUGGUGGCUCGGCCGUUGGCGGCGGAUCGGACGCAUACGUGCCGGGGCGCCGAGGGCUGCGGCGUGACGGGCGCCCGGUUGUGCCUGCAGGUGCGCGCAGGUGCCGGCAGGUGCGCGGGGCGCGGCCCCCAGAGCGGCCGGCCGCGGAGCCUCGGGAGGAGGUGCUGUUGAUGUCAUGGUGCUGCCAGCUUGGGGAGUGAAGACCGGAAACAGGCGAUCCAGGGCCCCCCGGCGCAGGACCGGUGCCCCCUCUCAGAGGAUGGGGAGAGCCUGCCCAGGUCGGGGCCCAAGGGUGGAGCCACCCAGCCGGCUGAGAAGGGGACUUCCCUGGUGGUGCAGUGGUUAAGAAUCCACCUGCCAAUGCAGGGGACACUGGUUCAAGCCGUGUUCCGGGGCAAUCCCACAUGCCGCGGAGCAGCUAAGCCCGUGCGCCACAACUACUGAGCCUGCGCUCUAGAUCCCGCGAGCCACAACUAUUGAGCUCACGUGCCACAACUACUGAAGCCCGCGCGCCUAGAGCCUGUGCUCCACAACAAGAGAAGCCAGCGCGAUGAGAAGCCCACGCACAGCAACGAAGAGUAGCCCCCGCUCGCCGCAACUAGAGAAAGCCCGCGCGCAGCAACAAAGACCCAACGCUGCCAAAAAAAAAAAGAAAAAAAGUAACCAGGUAUACUGUAUUUCAUCUAGCAAGCCUAAUCAUAACAGGAAUGCUGUCCCCUAUUAACAGUCCAGCCAACACUAAAAUAAAGAAAACGGGAGAACUAUCUAUGAUCAUACCCCCGAAAAGAUAACUUUGAAAACAACUAGACUGUAUCUUGCCCAGGUUUUAUA